UCAUCUCAGAGAGAAGGAAUGACUCAUCCAACAAACCACCGCACACCACUGAAUGAAGGAAGCUAGCGUUUGUUUAGCUAACAGCUAAUUCGGC
This is a long non-coding RNA of Etheostoma cragini (Arkansas darter), 94 nucleotides long. RefSeq lists it as uncharacterized. The record is from RefSeq and is a predicted model, not a curated record. Lineage: Eukaryota; Metazoa; Chordata; Actinopteri; Perciformes; Percidae. The transcript has 3 exons.